Harpia harpyja (harpy eagle) is the source of this 1528-nucleotide long non-coding RNA. RefSeq lists it as uncharacterized. The transcript is spliced from 3 exons. The record is from RefSeq and is a predicted model, not a curated record. NCBI's taxonomy places the organism in Eukaryota, Metazoa, Chordata, Aves, Accipitriformes, Accipitridae.
AAGCAACCGCUUCGGAUUUGUCACUGGCUUUUUGCGGUAUCGGCUCCAAGCACAGGCACAACAGAGAACAAAUUGUAAACAAUUAAAAGGAAAACAGUUAAUGUCCUGCAGGAAACGCGGCAUACUUUAAUUUCAGCUUCACAAGUUGCAGAGGGUCCAGGGGUGGCCUGCAUAAAAAAGAAUUGAUUGUUUCAGUCUGUUGUCUCCUAACAGCUUUUUAAUGCAGGACUCCAGCUCCCUGACUUCGGGAGAGCCAGCACUGUGCUGCCAUGCAAGCGUGCAGGUGAGUUGUUGGGAGACCAAGAAAAAGGGAAAGACAAGGAAACAUCAGUUCAGAAAGAGGAAAGAAGAGACCUUAGUGGUGCAGAAAGAAACCACGCCAUGUCCAUAUUGAAGGGGAAUGACUGCAACAGAGAGGAAGACAGAGAAAUAAAGUCAGAUUGGAAGAACCCUGGGAAUAAGGAGAAGAAGUAGUAGGGAGAGGAGAAACUGGAGAUCAUGUCUUCAUUUAAAAGCAGAAACUCUGCGUGAUCUGGGGUAGUUGCGUAUGCCGGGAUCCAUCCCGUCUCAUUUUAGCACUCACUGCAGCACCCAGGCUUCCUAAGCAAGUUGCCCCAUCCACCUUCAACGCCCAGAGCCCCUGGGCAAGCUGCCCCCUUGGGAUCCAUCUUGGCUCUUCCCUGUGCAGCCAGGUCUCUAAUUUCCACCCCAGGUGUCUUAACACCAGCGGACACAAAUCCCUGCCUCGAUUCCUCUAAGCCGCACACCUCAGUCUGCAAAAUGGUGGCAACGGAAUUUCUCUUCCAUAGGGGUGUUGUUGUAAGGAUGGAUUCGGAAAUGAUUGGGAGGCAUUUGGGCACUCUGUCGGUAGAGACACGAAGGAGGACAGAGGCAAAAGAGAGUGGAGAAAAGAAAUAGUGAGAAACAGGAAGAAUUCAUGGUCAGUAGGAGAAGAACUGCAUCUCAUGGAGAGCAUUUUAAAGAAGCAGAGGGAUGAAACCCAGUCUGAAGAAAACACAUUAAAUGAGGAAAAUUGCAACAACAAAAAAGUGGAGAAUAGGAAGAGAAAAAGAAGGAAAGCCCACAGGGACCAUAAAGCAAUUCUUUAUUUUUAUGGAGACUUUCCACUUCUUUAUUCAAUUUUUUGAAUGCAAGUUUUAUUAGUGGUUUUGGCUCUGCCCUUGCAAACAAAUCAGGCAGCACUACCAACAGCAGACUGGGAGGAGGUGAGAUGCUCUUGGAAGUUGCACAUCAUCUUCUUUCUCCUCCUGAAAAGCUGGCUGGGUUAACCCCACUGUUGGGAAGAUCUGCCAAGAGGCCAUGGAUGCUGGUAUUAUAGUUGUUGAUUGGCUUCUUAGAAAGCAUAACCUUACUCUGUAUAGGCCAUUUUUGCAGGGUCUACCUUGCUGAAAAGACAGAGAAACUACUGUAGGCAAAGGCUGAUGCACUUCCAUUACUGAUAUGACACCUCCUCAUGGGAAAGUGCACGUUGAUGUUACGUUGGCUACAAAGUAAAAAUUAAUUACGG